AUGCCGGAAACUCAAGGUUGGGCAGACUUACCAGAAGGCCUGCUGUACUCCAUCGUUGCUCGGCUGGGCCUGGGCUCCGCCCCGGAUCUUCUGGCCUUUGCUGCCACUUGUCGCUCAUGGGGUGCUGUCUUCUCCGGCUCCUUAGCGACAUUCUCACCUCUCCUUCUCCAACCUGGUGUCCCUUUUUGCCCUCCCCAUCCUAGCUCUUUUAGCAACAACAUAGUGCCCAAACGGACUUCCUUUGGUCAUGUCAUUUUGUACAACAAAAAAUCAUGUAUACCGAUCUUCAAGUGCGCGGAGCUCAACUAUGUAUCAGGGCUAACCUUUGAGGUAUUCCGCCUUGACCUGUCACUUGAGUCUUCAUUAUGGGUGAAGGUGGAGAAGCUAGAGAAUUGGGCGAUAUUUAUCAGCACUGACAAGAGAGCCCAGCCAUUGUAUUGCACGAACCCAGAGAUAUGGGGAAGGAGGAGCAACUGCAAAUACUGCUACUGUCAUGAGGCUGAAAGUUGGGUUGCACUUGAGUUGGGCAAGCCGCUGCAGGGAGAUGGCUCUAAACUCUAUCCAAACAUUUUCAAUUUCUGUGAGAACACGGUGCAACCUAUGUGGGUUGUCCCAAGCAUGCUCUCUUUGCGUCAGUGA
This 639-nucleotide ribosomal RNA is filed under the name Triticum aestivum (bread wheat). RNAcentral describes it as "partial small subunit ribosomal RNA". Lineage: Eukaryota; Viridiplantae; Streptophyta; Magnoliopsida; Poales; Poaceae. The record is from RNAcentral.